RNAcentral lists this ribosomal RNA (526 nucleotides) under uncultured Clostridiaceae bacterium. Its description in RNAcentral is "bacterial SSU rRNA". It matches the Rfam family "Bacterial small subunit ribosomal RNA", at positions 1 to 526 of the family's 1533-position model. The record is from RNAcentral. Lineage: Bacteria; Bacillati; Bacillota; Clostridia; Eubacteriales; Clostridiaceae.
AUUAGAGUUUGAUCAUGGCUCAGGAUGAACGCCGGCGGCGUGCUUAACACAUGCAAGUUGAACGAAGCUUAUAGCACCGAUUCCUUGGGGGAGAAGCGGUAUGAGACUUAGUGGCGAACGGGUGAGUAACACGUGAGCAACCAACCCCUUACAGUGGAAUAACAACGGGAAACCGUUGCUAAUACCGCAUAAUAUCCCUAUAUGGCAUCAUAUGGAGAUCAAAGAUUUAUUGGUGAGGGACGGGCUCGCGUCCGAUUAGGUAGUAGGUAAGGUAACGGCUUACCUAGCCGACGAUCGGUAGCCGGACUGAGAGGUCGAUCGGCCACAUUGGGAGUGAGACACGGCCCAGACUCUUACGGGAGGCAGCAGUGGGGAAUAUUGGGCAAUGGGGGCAACCCCGACCCAGCGACGCCGCGUGAAGGAUGAAGGCCUUCGGGUUGUAAACUUUUUUGGAUGGGGACGAAGAAAUGACGGUACCCAUCGAACAAGCCACGGCUAACUACGUGCCAGCAGCCGCGGUAAUAAU